This is a long non-coding RNA of Juglans microcarpa x Juglans regia, 178 nucleotides long. RefSeq lists it as uncharacterized. Lineage: Eukaryota; Viridiplantae; Streptophyta; Magnoliopsida; Fagales; Juglandaceae. The record is from RefSeq and is a predicted model, not a curated record. The transcript has 4 exons.
GCGUAAACACGAUAUAUAUAUAUAUAUAUAAAUGAAUUAUAGCUAUUUGAAAAAAAAAAAGGAUUGGGGCCAAUGUCUGAAAUGUAAAGUAAAUGUAUCCAUAUGUAGAUAUCUAUAGGGGAUUAAUCAUACAAAGUGGAUCUUAUUAUUUUUGAUCUAAGCAUCGAUAAUUACUCCU